AUGAGAGGAACUCCUGUCUUUGUCUCCUUUCCAAUUCUAUUGCAGGGUGUGCUGGGUGCAUCACGUAACUGGGAUGUGGGUGUAUCCUUUCCUGGAACACAUUGGCCCAGGAGCCAGAAUCAUCUUCUUUGGGUCUACAACCAUCUUAAUGAACUUUUUGUACCUGCUGGGAGAAGUUCUGAACAGCUAUAUCUGGGAUACACAGAGAACUGCCCAUCCAGCUCAUGGCCCACCCAGGCCCACCCAGGCCUGCAGUGUCCCAGCACUGCCUCUGGUUGAGCUCUUCUCCCAGCCUAGGGGAAUCACAUGUGACUAACUCUCUCAGGGUCAAUCAGCUCUUCCUCCAGGUUCCCAAAAGCACGUCCUGCCUUAGCUUUGUGACAGGUUUCUUUCUGCUAUUUGUGUGGAAAUUAUACCUCUGCUUCUUCCAAAUAUUAUUUACAGCUGUCUAAUUUUUUCCCUCUACCUCAAAGCUGCCAAACUAAAGUAGGUGGGGAGCCAUUUUUCCUGUCUGGGUCAAUGAACACCCCCUGUUCUCCACCCCCGCUUUUGAAGAUUCCACUGUCGCUGCCAAGUCAACCCAUCUGCAGGAGAACACUUAGGAGGAAACAGACUUUAAGGAAAAGCAAGCAGUUAUUAGUUCCUGAGAGCUUCUCCACAGGAGAGGGAACAUGGGACAAAGCUGGGACCCAAGUCAUGUGUGCUGCUUGAAAGGAAUCCCUGUUGUGUUUUUCUGCCUUUGCCUUGUUACCAACAACUAAGGCAUCUCCUGGCUUCUCCCCCUUAACCCUAUUCCUCCUCCCUUCAGAUGUCCUUAGUCCUCAAUCUGAAGUUUUCCUUAAUAUGAUUUCUGAGAAGCACUUUGGAAGAAGUGUUACAGAUCUGUGCCAGUUCCUUAGUCAUGAAAACCAAACCUGAAAGACUGUCUAAGGACACCUGUUCAGAGCAUGUUACCCACAUUCCCACCACCACCGCCCUGGCCCCACAAAACAAAUACCGGGAGCUGGGUGCUGAGGGGAAGGGGAAUCCUCCCUAGUAUGAGCCCUGUGAGAGUAACCCUCUGGGAUGAGGCUUUACAUUUUUUUAUAUUGUGAAGUUCCUUAUUUUAUUCUGCUUUCCCACUAGCAUAGCCUUCUGAGGCCUUCCUCGUUUUCAUUGUUUAUAAACUGAUUCCAUAAUGAUUAAAUGAGCUCCUACUGUCAGUCAGGCACUGUGUUAGGUGCUAGGGAUAUUAUCAGAAACAAAACAGUUAAGGGCUCUGCCUUCAGAGAGCUUACGACUUGUAAAAGAAUACCAAUAAAAGCUGCAAAGCAAUAUGUGGGGUUCUUUUG
Molecule: long non-coding RNA, 1331 nt
Filed under: Felis catus (domestic cat)
Lineage: Eukaryota; Metazoa; Chordata; Mammalia; Carnivora; Felidae
Description: lncRNA (ENSFCAG00000049694.1)
Source: RNAcentral